UCCGUAGGCGGUCUUAUAAGUCAGUGGUGAAAGCCCAUCGCUCAACGAUGGAACUGCCAUUGAUACUGUAAGACUUGAAUUUUUGUGAAGUAACUAGAAUAUGUAGUGUAGCGGUGAAAUGCUUAGAUAUUACAUGGAAUACCAAUUGCGAAGGCAGGUUACUAACAAACGAUUGACGCUGAGGCACGAAAGUGUGGGGAUCAAACAGGAUUAGAUACCCUCGUA
RNAcentral lists this ribosomal RNA (225 nucleotides) under uncultured Flavobacterium sp. RNAcentral's name for it is "partial 16S ribosomal RNA". It matches the Rfam family "Bacterial small subunit ribosomal RNA", at positions 568 to 792 of the family's 1533-position model. The record is from RNAcentral. Lineage: Bacteria; Pseudomonadati; Bacteroidota; Flavobacteriia; Flavobacteriales; Flavobacteriaceae.